RNAcentral lists this ribosomal RNA (484 nucleotides) under uncultured bacterium. RNAcentral's name for it is "partial 16S ribosomal RNA". It matches the Rfam family "Bacterial small subunit ribosomal RNA", at positions 36 to 507 of the family's 1533-position model. The record is from RNAcentral.
CUUUCCCUCUGUCGGCAGGCCUAACACAUGCAAGUCGAGCGGAUGAAGGGAGCCUGCUCCUGGAUUCAGCGGCGGACGGGUGAGUAAUGCCUAGGAAUCUGCCUGGUAGUGGGGGAUAACGUCCGGAAACGGGCGCUAAUACCGCAUACGUCCUGAGGGAGAAAGUGGGGGAUCUUCGGACCUCACGCUAUCAGAUGAGCCUAGGUCGGAUUAGCUAGUUGGUGGGGUAAAGGCCUACCAAGGCGACGAUCCGUAACUGGUCUGAGAGGAUGAUCAGUCACACUGGAACUGAGACACGGUCCAGACUCCUACGGGAGGCAGCAGUGGGGAAUAUUGGACAAUGGGCGAAAGCCUGAUCCAGCCAUGCCGCGUGUGUGAAGAAGGUCUUCGGAUUGUAAAGCACUUUAAGUUGGGAGGAAGGGCAGUAAGUUAAUACCUUGCUGUUUUGACGUUACCAACAGAAUAAGCACCGGCUAACUUCGUG